This 73-nucleotide transfer RNA is filed under the name Cryptosporangium aurantiacum. Its description in RNAcentral is "tRNA_Val_GAC". The record is from RNAcentral. Lineage: Bacteria; Bacillati; Actinomycetota; Actinomycetes; Cryptosporangiales; Cryptosporangiaceae.
GUCCCGGUAGCUCAGUCGGUAGAGCACCACCUCGACACGGUGGGGGUCCCAGGUUCAAGGCCUGGUCGGGGCA